RNAcentral lists this ribosomal RNA (253 nucleotides) under uncultured bacterium. RNAcentral's name for it is "partial 16S ribosomal RNA". It matches the Rfam family "Bacterial small subunit ribosomal RNA", at positions 524 to 776 of the family's 1533-position model. The record is from RNAcentral.
UACGGGGGGGGCAAGCGUUGUUCGGAAUUACUGGGCGGAAAGGGCUCGUAGGCGGUCGGGUAAGUCUGACGUGAAAUCUUCAAGCUUAACUUGGAAACUGCGUCGGAUACUAUUCGGCUGGAGGAAUGGAGGGGAGACUGGAAUACUUGGUGUAGCAGUGAAAUGCGUAGAUAUCAAGUGGAACACCAGUGGCGAAGGCGAGUCUCUGGACAUUUCCUGACGCUGAGGCACGAAAGCCAGGGGAGCAAACGGG